AAAGACUAAGCUUUAUAAUUAAAUAAGCAACUUUCUUACAAUAAGUAGAUUAUUGUCUUUA
RNAcentral lists this transfer RNA (61 nucleotides) under Fragariocoptes setiger. Its description in RNAcentral is "tRNA-Val". The record is from RNAcentral. Lineage: Eukaryota; Metazoa; Arthropoda; Arachnida; Trombidiformes; Phytoptidae.